This 253-nucleotide ribosomal RNA is filed under the name uncultured bacterium. RNAcentral describes it as "partial 16S ribosomal RNA". It matches the Rfam family "Bacterial small subunit ribosomal RNA", at positions 524 to 776 of the family's 1533-position model. The record is from RNAcentral.
UACGAAGGGGGCUAGCGUUGCUCGGAAUCACUGGGCGUAAAGGGUGCGUAGGCGGGUCUUUAAGUCAGGGGUGAAAUCCUGGAGCUCAACUCCAGAACUGCCUUUGAUACUGGCGAGCUUGAGUUCGGGAGAGGUGAGUGGAACUGCGAGUGUAGAGGUGAAAUUCGUAGAUAUUCGCAAGAACACCAAUUGCGAAGGCAGCUCGCUGGGACGUUACGGACGCUGAGACGCGAAAGCGUGGGGAGCAAACAGG